RNAcentral lists this ribosomal RNA (2908 nucleotides) under Salmonella enterica subsp. enterica serovar Typhimurium. Its description in RNAcentral is "23S ribosomal RNA". It matches the Rfam family "Bacterial large subunit ribosomal RNA". The record is from RNAcentral. Lineage: Bacteria; Pseudomonadati; Pseudomonadota; Gammaproteobacteria; Enterobacterales; Enterobacteriaceae.
GGUUAAGCGACUAAGCGUACACGGUGGAUGCCCUGGCAGUCAGAGGCGAUGAAGGGCGUGCUAAUCUGCGAUAAGCGCCGGUAAGGUGAUAUGAACCGUUAUAACCGGCGAUACCCGAAUGGGGAAACCCAGUGUGAUUCGUCACACUAUCAUUAACUGAAUCCAUAGGUUAAUGAGGCGAACCGGGGGAACUGAAACAUCUAAGUACCCCGAGGAAAAGAAAUCAACCGAGAUUCCCCCAGUAGCGGCGAGCGAACGGGGAGGAGCCCAGAGCCUGAAUCAGCAUGUGUGUUAGUGGAAGCGUCUGGAAAGGCGCGCGAUACAGGGUGACAGCCCCGUACACAAAAGCGCAUGUGCUGUGAGCUCGAUGAGUAGGGCGGGACACGUGGUAUCCUGUCUGAAUAUGGGGGGACCAUCCUCCAAGGCUAAAUACUCCUGACUGACCGAUAGUGAACCAGUACCGUGAGGGAAAGGCGAAAAGAACCCCGGCGAGGGGAGUGAAAAAGAACCUGAAACCGUGUACGUACAAGCAGUGGGAGCACAGGUUUACCUGUGUGACUGCGUACCUUUUGUAUAAUGGGUCAGCGACUUAUAUUCUGUAGCAAGGUUAACCGUAUAGGGGAGCCGGAGGGAAACCGAGUCUUAACCGGGCGUUAAGUUGCAGGGUAUAGACCCGAAACCCGGUGAUCUAGCCAUGGGCAGGUUGAAGGUUGGGUAACACUAACUGGAGGACCGAACCGACUAAUGUUGAAAAAUUAGCGGAUGACCUGUGGCUGGGGGUGAAAGGCCAAUCAAACCGGGAGAUAGCUGGUUCUCCCCGAAAGCUAUUUAGGUAGCGCCUCGUGAAUUCAUCUCCGGGGGUAGAGCACUGUUUCGGCUAGGGGGCCAUCCCGGCUUACCAACCCGAUGCAAACUGCGAAUACCGGAGAAUGUUAUCACGGGAGACACACGGCGGGUGCUAACGUCCGUCGUGAAGAGGGAAACAACCCAGACCGCCAGCUAAGGUCCCAAAGUCAUGGUUAAGUGGGAAACGAUGUGGGAAGGCCCAGACAGCCAGGAUGUUGGCUUAGAAGCAGCCAUCAUUUAAAGAAAGCGUAAUAGCUCACUGGUCGAGUCGGCCUGCGCGGAAGAUGUAACGGGGCUAAACCAUGCACCGAAGCUGCGGCAGCGACGCUGAUGCGUUGUUGGGUAGGGGAGCGUUCUGUAAGCCUGCGAAGGUGACCUGUGAGGGUUGCUGGAGGUAUCAGAAGUGCGAAUGCUGACAUAAGUAACGAUAAAGCGGGUGAAAAGCCCGCUCGCCGGAAGACCAAGGGUUCCUGUCCAACGUUAAUCGGGGCAGGGUGAGUCGACCCCUAAGGCGAGGCCGAAAGGCGUAGUCGAUGGGAAACGGGUUAAUAUUCCCGUACUUGGUGUUACUGCGAAGGGGGGACGGAGAAGGCUAUGUUGGCCGGGCGACGGUUGUCCCGGUUUAAGCGUGUAGGUGUGUGUUCCAGGUAAAUCCGGUUCACUUUAACACUGAGGCGUGACGACGAGGCACUACGGUGCUGAAGCAACAAAUGCCCUGCUUCCAGGAAAAGCCUCUAAGCAUCAGGUAACACGAAAUCGUACCCCAAACCGACACAGGUGGUCAGGUAGAGAAUACCAAGGCGCUUGAGAGAACUCGGGUGAAGGAACUAGGCAAAAUGGUGCCGUAACUUCGGGAGAAGGCACGCUGACACGUAGGUGAAGUGAUUUACUCAUGGAGCUGAAGUCAGUCGAAGAUACCAGCUGGCUGCAACUGUUUAUUAAAAACACAGCACUGUGCAAACACGAAAGUGGACGUAUACGGUGUGACGCCUGCCCGGUGCCGGAAGGUUAAUUGAUGGGGUCAGCGCAAGCGAAGCUCCUGAUCGAAGCCCCGGUAAACGGCGGCCGUAACUAUAACGGUCCUAAGGUAGCGAAAUUCCUUGUCGGGUAAGUUCCGACCUGCACGAAUGGCGUAAUGAUGGCCAGGCUGUCUCCACCCGAGACUCAGUGAAAUUGAACUCGCUGUGAAGAUGCAGUGUACCCGCGGCAAGACGGAAAGACCCCGUGAACCUUUACUAUAGCUUGACACUGAACAUUGAGCCUUGAUGUGUAGGAUAGGUGGGAGGCUUUGAAGUGUGGACGCCAGUCUGCAUGGAGCCGACCUUGAAAUACCACCCUUUAAUGUUUGAUGUUCUAACGUGGACCCGUAAUCCGGGUUGCGGACAGUGUCUGGUGGGUAGUUUGACUGGGGCGGUCUCCUCCUAAAGAGUAACGGAGGAGCACGAAGGUUGGCUAAUCCUGGUCGGACAUCAGGAGGUUAGUGCAAUGGCAUAAGCCAGCUUGACUGCGAGCGUGACGGCGCGAGCAGGUGCGAAAGCAGGUCAUAGUGAUCCGGUGGUUCUGAAUGGAAGGGCCAUCGCUCAACGGAUAAAAGGUACUCCGGGGAUAACAGGCUGAUACCGCCCAAGAGUUCAUAUCGACGGCGGUGUUUGGCACCUCGAUGUCGGCUCAUCACAUCCUGGGGCUGAAGUAGGUCCCAAGGGUAUGGCUGUUCGCCAUUUAAAGUGGUACGCGAGCUGGGUUUAGAACGUCGUGAGACAGUUCGGUCCCUAUCUGCCGUGGGCGCUGGAGAACUGAGGGGGGCUGCUCCUAGUACGAGAGGACCGGAGUGGACGCAUCACUGGUGUUCGGGUUGUCAUGCCAAUGGCACUGCCCGGUAGCUAAAUGCGGAAGAGAUAAGUGCUGAAAGCAUCUAAGCACGAAACUUGCCCCGAGAUGAGUUCUCCCUGAGACUUAGAGUCUCCUGAAGGAACGUUGAAGACGACGACGUUGAUAGGCCGGGUGUGUAAGCGCAGCGAUGCGUUGAGCUAACCGGUACUAAUGAACCGUGAGGCUUAACCUU